Long non-coding RNA from Onychostoma macrolepis, 616 nucleotides. RefSeq lists it as uncharacterized. The transcript is spliced from 3 exons. NCBI's taxonomy places the organism in Eukaryota, Metazoa, Chordata, Actinopteri, Cypriniformes, Cyprinidae. The record is from RefSeq and is a predicted model, not a curated record.
CCUAAAUGGCUUCUGCGUACCACAGUCAGCGGAAGUGAGAAAAAAAGUGUUUAUUGUGUUUGAAAUAUGGAUAUUUAUCUUACAGAAACGCAUGGUUUUGCUACAGGAGGCCUUUAUUCACCCACCAGAGCAGUGUGAUGCCCGUUUUAUUAUGGAUGCAUGCACUUUAUUUCACAUCUUCUGAACUGUUGCCAAAAAACACCCACUUACCCCAUUGAAAGGCUUGGAGGGGCCAGGACAAUUUUUUUUAUAACUUUGUUUGUUUUCGUCUGAAAGAAGAAAGUCAUAUACACCUAGGAUGCCCCAAGGGCAACUGCAAUGAAGCAUCAAGAAAGACACGAGCAGGCCAGCCACCCUGAGACUGACAAGCAUGAGAAGACAUUUCUGUCAAAGUGGAUGGUGAGCAAAGAUGGUGGCCACGUUUUGGAGAGGCACCUGGGUUUUGCAGAUAUUUGUCUUUGGUUGUUUGUCUUCUUUCCCCAUUAUGUUUCUGUUGCCUAAAGAUUCUUUGUGAGGAUGAAUCCAGAGGACACAACAUAACGCACUGCAAAACAUCCUAAGACAGGAGAAAUGGUGAAGAUGCACUGUUCCAGCAUUGGAAGACUGUAUUUUUAUG